AACGUGCCCAGUAAUGGGGGAUAGCCCGGCGAAAGCCGGAUUAAUACCGCAUACGACCUACGGGUGAAAGCGGGGGAUCGCAAGACCUCGCGUUAUUGGAGCGGCCGAUAUCAGAUUAGCUUGUUGGUGGGGUAAAAGCCUACCAAGGCGACGAUCUGUAGCUGGUCUGAGAGGACGACCAGCCACACUGGGACUGAGACACGGCCCAGACUCCUACGGGAGGCAGCAGUGGGGAAUUUUGGACAAUGGGCGCAAGCCUGAUCCAGCCAUGCCGCGUGCGG
This 281-nucleotide ribosomal RNA is filed under the name uncultured bacterium. RNAcentral describes it as "partial 16S ribosomal RNA". It matches the Rfam family "Bacterial small subunit ribosomal RNA", at positions 123 to 406 of the family's 1533-position model. The record is from RNAcentral.